RNAcentral lists this ribosomal RNA (468 nucleotides) under uncultured bacterium. RNAcentral's name for it is "partial 16S ribosomal RNA". It matches the Rfam family "Bacterial small subunit ribosomal RNA", at positions 28 to 507 of the family's 1533-position model. The record is from RNAcentral.
GACGAACGCUGGCGGCGUGCUUAACACAUGCAAGUCGAACGGAAAGGCCCUGCUUUUGUGGUGUGCUCGAGUGGCGAACGGGUGUGUCACACGUGUGUACCCUGCCCUUGACUUUGGUAUAACUUCAGGACACUGGGGAUAACACCGGAUAGGAGCUCCUGCUGCGUGGUGGGGGUUGGAAAGUUUGGGCGGUGGGGGAUGGUCUCGCGGUUUAUCCGCUUGUUGGUGGGGUAGUGGUUUACAAGGGCUUUCACGGUUCCCGGGCCUGAGGGGGGGACGGGCCACAUGGGAACGGGGAUACGGCCAAGACUCCUAGGGGAGGAAGAAGUGGGGAAUAUGGCACAAUGGGCGGAGGCCGGAGGCAGCAACGCCGCGUGCGGAAGGAGGGCCUUCGGUUUGAAAACCGCUUUCGCCAGGGACGAAGCGUGAGUGACGGUAAUGGGUAAAGAAGCACCGGCUAACUACGUG